UAUGUGAUCGUCUCUCGCAUAUCAAUAAGCGGAGGAAAAGAAACUAUCAAGGAUUCCCCUAGUAACGGCGAGUGAAGCGGGAAGAGCUCAAAUUUGAAAUCUUAAAGGGUUUCCCUUUACGAAUUGUAGUUUAAAGAAGUGUUUUCUGUUGAGGUUUUGGUAAAAGUUCUUUGGAAUAGGACAUCAUAGAGGGUGAGAAUCCCGUAUUUGACCUUUACUUUCAACUUUGUGAUACACUUUCAAAGAGUCGGAUUGUUUGGGAAUGCAGUCCAAAAUGGGUGGUAAAUUUCAUCUAAAGCUAAAUAUUGGCGAGAGACCGAUAGCGAACAAGUACCGUGAGGGAAAGAUGAAAAGAACUUUGAAAAGAGAGUUAAACAGUACGUGAAAUUGUCAAAAGGGAAGCGUUUGACACCAGUGUUGUUUUUCUGAAAAUCAAUUAAAGAACUGUUUAUGCUAAGCUGUUUAGACUUUAUCGGCUAACUGUUUAGUUUUAGGCUUUUCUUUAAUGCACUUUUCAGUUAACAAGUCAACAUCAAUUUCUUUUGCUGUAAAAAAGCUUGAGGAAGGUGGCUUGAGAUUCGUCUUAAGUGUUUAUAGCCUCUUGCCUAUGCAGUCGGAGAGAUUGAGGUCUGCAGCGUAGAUCCUUCGGGGCUAAAUGCAUUUGUGCUAAGUUAUAGCAUUUUAUAGACAACUUGUUGACUAUGAUUUGUCUUGUAGCUUACUCGCUUAUGUUAUUUUACCUACGCUUAGGAUGUUGAUCUACAGAGCGAGAGU
RNAcentral lists this ribosomal RNA (774 nucleotides) under uncultured Neocallimastigales. Its description in RNAcentral is "partial large subunit ribosomal RNA". It matches the Rfam family "Eukaryotic large subunit ribosomal RNA", at positions 24 to 640 of the family's 3401-position model. Lineage: Eukaryota; Fungi; Neocallimastigomycota; Neocallimastigomycetes; Neocallimastigales. The record is from RNAcentral.